GCCGUCGCGUACACGGCGGCGCAUGCCGCGCCUGCCGAGCGGGGCCGCGACCUGGGGAUCGUGACCUCGGGGGUGGUG
Molecule: transfer RNA, 78 nt
Filed under: Actinomadura macrotermitis
Lineage: Bacteria; Bacillati; Actinomycetota; Actinomycetes; Streptosporangiales; Thermomonosporaceae
Description: Actinomadura sp. RB68 tRNA-Gly
Source: RNAcentral